UANACACAUGCAAGUCGAACGGCAGCACGGACUUCGGUCUGGUGGCGAGUGGCGAACGGGUGAGUAAUACAUCGGAACGUGCCUAGUAGUGGGGGAUAACUACUCCAAAGAGUGGCUAAUACCGCAUGAGAUCUACGGAUGAAAGCAGGGGAUCGCAAGACCUUGUGCUACUAGAGCGGCUGAUGGCAGAUUAGGUAUUUGGUGGGAUAAAAGCUUACCAAGCCCACGAUCUGUAUCUGGUCUGAGAGGACGAUCAGCCACACUGGGACUGAGACACGGCCCAGACUCCUACGGGAGGCAGCAGUGGGGAAUUUUGGACAAUGGGCGCGAGCCUGAUCCAGCAAUGCCGCGUGCAGGAUGAAGGCCUUCGGGUUGUAAACUGCUUUUGUACGGAACGAAAAGCUUUGGGCUAAUACCCUGGACUCAUGACGGUACCGUAAGAAUAAGCACCGGCUAACUACGUGCC
Molecule: ribosomal RNA, 466 nt
Filed under: uncultured bacterium
Lineage: Bacteria
Description: bacterial SSU rRNA
Rfam family: Bacterial small subunit ribosomal RNA
Source: RNAcentral